UACGGAGGGUGCAAACGUUGCUCGGAAUCAUUGGGCGUAAAGCGCACGUAGGCGGUCCGCUAAGUCGGGUGUGAAAUCCCUCGGCUCAACCGAGGAAGUGCAUUCGAAACUGACGGACUUGAGUAUGGAAGAGGGUCGUGGAAUUCCCGGUGUAGAGGUGAAAUUCGUAGAUAUCGGGAGGAACACCAGUGGCGAAGGCGGCGACCUGGGCCAAUACUGACGCUGAGGUGCGAAAGCGUGGGGAGCAAACAGG
This 253-nucleotide ribosomal RNA is filed under the name uncultured bacterium. RNAcentral's name for it is "partial 16S ribosomal RNA". It matches the Rfam family "Bacterial small subunit ribosomal RNA", at positions 524 to 776 of the family's 1533-position model. The record is from RNAcentral.